AUCCAGCUGACGAGUUCCAAAUAGGAUGAAACGCGUCCUAAAU
Molecule: non-coding RNA, 43 nt
Organism: Schistosoma rodhaini
Lineage: Eukaryota; Metazoa; Platyhelminthes; Trematoda; Strigeidida; Schistosomatidae
Source: Rfam